Molecule: transfer RNA, 650 nt
Filed under: uncultured cyanobacterium
Lineage: Bacteria; Bacillati; Cyanobacteriota
Description: partial 16S-23S ribosomal RNA intergenic spacer
Rfam family: tRNA (bases 257-329)
Source: RNAcentral
CAGGGAGACUAAACUGAUUAUGAUGUCUGAUUAAAAUAUUAGGCCUUAAUCCUGUCACCUUAGGUCGAUCGGUACCUCAGAUUGAAAACCUUAAUAUCAGAAGAAAUUCUUGUAUUUGUUUCCAAUUUCAGUUCCUAAACUUGUCUAGGUCACACCCAACAAAACUUUCUCUUGAGCUAUUAGCUCAGGCGGUUAGAGCGCACCCCUGAUAAGGGUGAGGUCCCUGGUUCAAGUCCAGGAUGGCCCAUUCGUUGUUGGGGGUAUAGCUCAGUUGGUAGAGCGCCUGCUUUGCAAGCAGGAUGUCAGCGGUUCGAGUCCGCUUACCUCCACUGAUCAACUACCUGAUAACUCAGUUUGGAGAUUGUUAUUUGUUUAAUGUGAUUUAGAUAUUGUUCAUCUGAAUGAACCUAGCUUCCUGUCAAUCCUUUUCUUGGCUGAUAAGACGCUGGGCUCACUGAUUCUCGUAUGAGUAUCAGGAAGAUUCAGCAGAACCUUGACAACUGCAUAGGAAAAUCUAGAAAAACAAAGCAUCUCAUAGAUGCAUAAAGAAUUUUAUUCAAAGUUUUGGAUACUAUUUUUUAUGCUCGAUUCUUGAGUUAGAGCAAAUUCUGUUUGGAUUUAAAAAAUUUAAAUUUAAAACGAAUUUAAUU